This is a long non-coding RNA of Salarias fasciatus (jewelled blenny), 95 nucleotides long. RefSeq lists it as uncharacterized. The record is from RefSeq and is a predicted model, not a curated record. Lineage: Eukaryota; Metazoa; Chordata; Actinopteri; Blenniiformes; Blenniidae. The transcript has 3 exons.
ACAAAUUAGCUUCUUUUUUUUCAGUUGAUCUUAGGUGAAUCUUCAUACUGUGUCAAAAGUGACUAAAUAUUUGUUCAAAAUCAAAUUAUGUUUAA